Molecule: ribosomal RNA, 468 nt
Filed under: uncultured bacterium
Lineage: Bacteria
Description: partial 16S ribosomal RNA
Rfam family: Bacterial small subunit ribosomal RNA
Source: RNAcentral
GACGAACGCUGGCGGCGUGCUUAACACAUGCAAGUCGAACGGAAAGGCCCUGCUUUUGUGGGGUGCUCGAGUGGCGAACGGGUGAGUAACACGUGAGUAACCUGCCCUUGACUUUGGGAUAACUUCAGGAAACUGGGGCUAAUACCGGAUAGGAGCUCCUGCUGCAUGGUGGGGGUUGGAAAGUUUCGGCGGUUGGGGAUGGACUCGCGGCUUAUCAGCUUGUUGGUGGGGUAGUGACUUACCAAGGCUUUGACGGGUAGCCGGCCUGAGAGGGUGACCGGCCACAUUGGGCCUGAGAUACGGCGCAGUCGCGUAUGGGAGGCAGCAGGGGGGAAUAUUGCACAAUGGGCGGAAGCCUGAUGCAGCAACGCCGCGUGCGGGAAGACGGCCUUCGGGUUGUAAACCGCUUUCGCCUGUGACGAAGCGUGAGUGACGGUAAUGGGUAAAGAAGCACCGGCUAACUACGUG